Molecule: long non-coding RNA, 479 nt
Organism: Gasterosteus aculeatus aculeatus (three-spined stickleback)
Lineage: Eukaryota; Metazoa; Chordata; Actinopteri; Perciformes; Gasterosteidae
Source: Ensembl
GUGAAGUAUCGUACCAAAGGCUCAACAUGGUCGUUUUUGGAGGAUAAUUAUCGUGUAUCUGGCAACAUUGAGAUCGGUCGACCAAUGACUGUUCUCUCUACAGUCAGAGCUCGCGAAAGAAGGUGGAACGUAAGCGAGACACCAUUUCCAAAACUGUUUUCCGGACCUACACUUGCAGAAAGCAACCAUGUAAUGCCUCAGGAGUCUGUAGAGGGGACGAAGACGCAUUCUGCUGCACUUAACAGAGCUCAAGACCAACGGGACGCCAUCAGGACGGCAUCAGGACGCCACGUCAUCGGGACGGCAUCAGGACACCACGUCAUCGGGACGCCAUCAGGACGCCGCAUCAACCCCUCAGGAGCAAAUCCAGAUCUACUCAUGAAACCCACACACACCCACACACACGUACACACACACACACACACACAGAGAUGUACUCACAGACACCCUUACAUUUGGGUCUAAACUAAGACACACAC